AAGUCGGGUGUGAAAUACCUCGGCCCAACCGAGGAACUGCGCCCGAUACUGCAGGUCUUGAGGACAGGAGGGGAGCGUGGAAUUCCUGGUGGAGCGGUGAAAUGCGUUGAUAUCAGGAGGAACACCGGCGGCGAAGGCGACGCUCUGGCCUGUUUCUGACGCUGAGGUGCGAAAGCCAGGGGAGCAAACGGGAUUAGAUACCCCGGUAGUCCUGGCCGUAAACGAU
This 226-nucleotide ribosomal RNA is filed under the name uncultured bacterium. RNAcentral describes it as "partial 16S ribosomal RNA". It matches the Rfam family "Bacterial small subunit ribosomal RNA", at positions 585 to 810 of the family's 1533-position model. The record is from RNAcentral.